UACGUAGGGGGCAAGCGUUGUCCGGAUUUAUUGGGCGUAAAGAGCGUGUAGGCGGCCAGAAAAGUCCGCUGUGAAAACUCGAGGCUCAACUUCGAGCUGUCGGUGGAAACUUUCUGGCUAGAGUCCGGAAGAGGAGAAUGGAAUUCCUGGUGUAGCGAUGAAAUGCGCAGAUAUCAGGAAGAACACCCGUGGCGAAGGCGGUUCUCUGGGACGGUACUGACGCUGAGACGCGAAAGCGUGGGGAGCGAACAGG
Molecule: ribosomal RNA, 253 nt
Filed under: uncultured bacterium
Lineage: Bacteria
Description: partial 16S ribosomal RNA
Rfam family: Bacterial small subunit ribosomal RNA
Source: RNAcentral